Molecule: ribosomal RNA, 1307 nt
Filed under: metagenome
Description: SSU rRNA
Rfam family: Eukaryotic small subunit ribosomal RNA
Source: RNAcentral
AUAACAAUGCGGGACUCUUAUGAGGCUUCGUAAUUGGAAUGAGUACAUUCUAAAUCCUUUAACGAGGAACUAUUGGAGGGCAAGUCUGGUGCCAGCAGCCGCGGUAAUUCCAGCUCCAAUAGCGUAUAUUAAAGUUGUUGCGUCUAAAAAGCUCGUAGUUUGAAAACUUGCCUUGGCUUACAACAGACGUCUAAGGGCGUCACCGUUUGUCGAGAGCAAAUAUGGGUGACUGUUCUUGCCUUCUUCACUGAUUGGCUCGUAAAAGUCAUCGAAGAUCACUUUGAUUAAAUUAGGGUGCUCAAAGCAAGUGUGCUACUUGAAUAUGAAUGCAUGGAAUGAUGGAAUAUGUUGUUGUUCUAUUUGUUGGUUUUUUGAAUGACGAAAUGAUUGAAAGGAACUGUUGGGGGCAUUCGUAUUGUUGUGAGAGAGGUGAAAUUCUUAGACCAUAGCAAGACGAACUACUGCGAAAGCAUUUGCCAAGAAUGUUUUCAUUGAUCAAGAACGAAAGUUAGAGGUUCGAAGGCGAUCAGAUACCGCCCUAGUUCUAACCAUAAACUAUGCCGACUAGCAAUUUGCUUUGUAUUUUUAUGACUAAGUGAGAGGCCACGGGAAACCAAAGUAGGGUUAUGGGGGAAGUAUGGUUGCAAAGCUGAAACUUAAAGGAAUUGACGGAAGGGCACCACCAGGAGUGGAGCCUGCGGCUUAAUUUGACCCAACACGGGAAAACUUACCUGGUCCUGACACUAGAAGGAUUGACAGAUUGAUAGCUCUUUCUUGAUUUGGUGGAUGGUGGUGCAUGGCCGUUCUUAGUUGGUGGAGUGAUUUGUCUGGUUAAUUCCGAUAACGAACGAGACUCUAGCCUAUUAAAUAAUAUGCGGAAUCAAUUUCUCCCGCGUUAUUUCUUAAUGGGAUCAAGCGUGUUUAACGCUUUGAAACAGAGCAAUAACAGGUCUGUGAUGCCCUUAGAUGUUCGGGGCUGCACGCGCGCUACAUUGAAGAACAAAGUGAGCCCUCUGGCUUUUAACAAAGCUAGAAAUCUUUUAAUGUUCUUCUUAAUGGGGAUAGGGGAUUGCAAUUGUGCCCCUUGAACGAGGAAUUCCCAGUAAGUGCUAGUCAUUAGCUAGUACUGAUUACGUCCCUGCCCUUUGUACACACCGCCCGUCGCUACUACCGAUUGAAUAGUUUAGUGAGAUCAUCUGAGUGUUUGUAUGUGCAUUCUGUGCUUGUAUGGUGUACGAAGAAGAUCAAACUUGAUUAUUUAGAGGAAGUAAAAGUCGUAACAAGGUUUCCGUAGGAACCUGCGGAAG